Molecule: non-coding RNA, 185 nt
Filed under: Aphanocapsa feldmannii 277cV
Lineage: Bacteria; Bacillati; Cyanobacteriota; Cyanophyceae; Chroococcales; Microcystaceae
Also listed under: 1 other name
Description: 6S RNA
Rfam family: 6S / SsrS RNA
About the family: E. coli 6S RNA was the first non coding RNA to be sequenced, but its function was unknown until recently. It consists of 184 nucleotides that fold into an extended hairpin structure with a large single-stranded internal bulge. The 6S RNA specifically associates with RNA polymerase holoenzyme containing the sigma70 specificity factor.
Source: RNAcentral
CAGGAGCUGCUGUGUUGGCCUUUUGCCCUACACAGUUUUCCGAUCUGACUCCCUUUCGAUCCGGGAGGCAUGUCGCGAAGGCAAAGUAGACCGGUCUCCGAGCCGGAAACGGCGCCCCGCUGUUGCCUCCCAUCCUGGUUUCCGCCAGGUCGAAACCUGGGGCAAGGCGGCAUAGUGGUUCCAAU